GGACGCCAGUCUGCGUGGAGCCGACCUUGAAAUACCACCCUUUAAUGUUUGAUGUUCUAACGUGGACCCGUGAUCCGGGUUGCGGACAGUGUCUGGUGGGUAGUUUGACUGGGGCGGUCUCCUCCUAAAGAGUAACGGAGGAGCACGAAGGUUGGCUAAUCCUGGUCGGACAUCAGGAGGUUAGUGCAAUGGCAUAAGCCAGCUUGACUGCGAGCGUGACGGCGCGAGCAGGUGCGAAAGCAGGUCAUAGUGAUCCGGUGGUUCUGAAUGGAAGGGCCAUCGCUCAACGGAUAAAAGGUACUCCGGGGAUAACAGGCUGAUACCGCCCAAGAGUUCAUAUCGACGGCGGUGUUUGGCACCUCGAUGUCGGCUCAUCACAUCCUGGGGCUGAAGUAGGUCCCAAGGGUAUGGCUGUUCGCCAUUUAAAGUGGUACGCGAGCUGGGUUUAGAACGUCGUGAGACAGUUCGGUCCCUAUCUGCCGUGGGCGCUGGAGAACUGAGGGGGGCUGCUCCUAGUACGAGAGGACCGGAGUGGACGCAUCACUGGUGUUCGGGUUGUCAUGCCAAUGGCACUGCCCGGUAGCUAAAUGCGGAAGAGAUAAGUGCUGAAAGCAUCUAAGCACGAAACUUGCCCCGA
This 637-nucleotide ribosomal RNA is filed under the name Salmonella enterica. RNAcentral describes it as "partial 23S ribosomal RNA". It matches the Rfam family "Bacterial large subunit ribosomal RNA", at positions 2166 to 2802 of the family's 2925-position model. The record is from RNAcentral. Lineage: Bacteria; Pseudomonadati; Pseudomonadota; Gammaproteobacteria; Enterobacterales; Enterobacteriaceae. RNAcentral also lists the same sequence under 3 other names.